CAGCCGCCGCGGUAAUACGAAGGGUGCAAGCGUUAAUCGGAAUUACUGGGCGUAAAGCGUGCGUAGGCGGUUUGUUAAGUCUGUUGUGAAAUCCCCGGGCUCAACCUGGGAAUGGCAAUGGAUACUGGCAAGCUAGAGUGUGUCAGAGGAUGGCGGAAUUCCCGGUGUAGCGGUGAAAUGCGUAGAGAUCGGGAGGAACAUCAGUGGCGAAGGCGGCCAUCUGGGACAACACUGACGCUGAGGCACGAAAGCGUGAGGAGCAAACAGGAUUAGAUACCCGAGUAGUCCCUGUCUCUUAUAA
Molecule: ribosomal RNA, 301 nt
Filed under: uncultured bacterium
Lineage: Bacteria
Description: partial 16S ribosomal RNA
Rfam family: Bacterial small subunit ribosomal RNA
Source: RNAcentral